ACUUACGGUUCGGGCGGUGGGCGAGAGCGAUCCGUUGGGGAGGUAGGGGCUCGUCAGGUCGGGGAUCAUGAUGAAGGGGUAGCCGGGAUACGGUGGCCCCUUAAAGAGCCCUCCAUCUUGCCUCUUGGCCGCUAACAUGGCGGGGCGGCGAGGGGACAGCGGCGGCCGCGCGGAGCGGGAGAGAGUGAGGAGAAACUUUUUAGAAAGUGCCCCGAGGGGCCGGGCGCCCCGACCGGGCCGGCGCAGGGCCAGGCCGAGCCGGGCGCGGGGCCGGGGCGCGCGGGGCGGCCGGCCCGGGGGGCGGCUCCGGGCGGCUGCGGGGCGCGCGGGGCGUACUCACCUUCUUCCAAACUUUCCCGGGAUUUGUCUCGGAAACUUUCGGAGCGAGGCGGAGGCCGUCUUUCCGCCUUCCCAGAGGGGUGGAGGUGGGGAGGGCGAGGGGCAAACGCCACGCAGAAGGGGGAGAAGGGGGAGAAAAAGAAUCGGCGAGGUCGAGGGGGGGGUAGAAAAAAACAGGGUUACAAGUUUUUGCAAUGGUGGCACCGUACGCACACGCCGCCCGCCGGGCCCCGCCGCCGCCCCCAGCCCCGAUUUCUCCCCUUUCAGCAACAUUUGCCAAGCCCAGGAAACAGAUAAAAAACCCCACCAGCCCGAGGGGCUUUUCCUACCUCGGAAUCGGAGGAGCUGUUUUGAUUCGUUUCUGAUUCAUUGACUAGAGACGAUUUGACAUCAGCUAAAUCCCUCUCUGCCGAGGAGUUUUCGGAGCUCUUCUCCUCCUGUUCGCCCUCGUCUUUGAAGGAAAUCAGUUCGUCGUUGGCGCCUAGGUCAUCCCCUCCACCGCCGUUCAGCUGCGGCAUUUUUUUUUCACCCACCAGCAGCAAUUUUGGAAGAAAAAUGAAGGAGGAAGAAAAGCCAAAAAAAAUCACCCCCAAAAAGUUUUGCCCCCCCAAAAAAUAUUGCAAGAAAAAGACGAGUCCAAGGUGAACUUUUUUCUGCUUGGGGGUCUUUUUCUCCUGGGGAGGGGAAAAGAGGGAGGAGGGGAGGGGAAGGGGGGGGAGAUCUUCUGCACGCGUGAGUUUGGGUUUCUUUUUUCUCUCGUUCCCAAGGAUCCGAUCAAUGUGCAAAAAAAUAAUAAAUAAAAAAGGGGGGUAAAAAAAAAAAAAACACCAACAACAACAAGAAGUCAGAUAUAAAGAGCAAAGGGGGGGGGAAGCCGAAGAUACAGGAGGUGCUCGUGCCGCUCGGAUUUGAGUGAGUUGAAGUUAGACUGAGAGCUUUUCAGUUCAAAGGCGGCGCUGAUUGACAGAUAGAAAAAGGGGGAUCGAAAUCCGGAGGAACGGAGUAGUCUGGGAGCGGAGAUUAUUGACAGGGCGAGAGGAACACACUGCCUUAAUGAGAUGCCGGAGGGCGGGGCCGGCCCAGUGACGUGUGCAUAAAUAAACAGCCGGGGUGGGCGGGGCGGGGGCGGCUAACAAUGAUCCUUUCGGGCGCCGGGAGAGGGAGGAGGGAAAGAAGGAGGAAGAGAGGGGCGGGGAAGCCGGGGGGAGACGGAGGGAGGAGUGUGCAGGGGGAGCGGCCUGCGCGGAGUGUGUGCGAGCCCGGGAUUCUGGGCGAGGGUGCAGGGACUUGCUCCGGGAGGGGGCGGUUUCAGAAAGACAAUGCGGGGUGGGAGAGGAGGAGAAGGGGGUGGCGACCAAGUCAGGAAUCCGAGCCGAGGAAGGCGGAAGGAAAGCCCACUUGGGGGGCGGGGAUGGGGAGAGGCCCAAAACAGUGCACUUUAGAAAUAUUAGAAAUAAGUCUUAAGGGAGGGGGAAAAGGAAGGGUAGUAUUUGAGAAAGUGGUGGCUGGGGGAGGGGGUGGGGGGGUGCUUGGUGGUUAAUUCAGCAGUGAAAUCAGCCACCCUUAGACGGGAUGCGACAAAAGUGGUCAAAAGGAAAGAUCAACCCUCCACUUUCAGAGAGCUUGGGGAAGUGAAGGGGCUGGUCAAAGUUCCUGGUCAUCUACAAUGAAAGAAACUAUUAACCCAUGAGGCCUCCCUCCUCCCUUUUUUGUUUAUUAGUAGUGAAUCAUUUCAUGAAAUGUUAAGUCCCACUAGGAUGGAUAUGCCAAAACGACUUUUUAUGCAAAAAACAAAUGCUAAAUGUCAGAAACAUUAAAAGUAUCCUUAAGGAAAAAUAUAUGAUUCUUUUAAAUGUAGAGUGGUGUUUUGCUUUUUUUUUUUUUUUUUUAACUGACGUUGGAGGUAGUAGGAAAUGAGCUAGAGUCAAAGUCCUUUUUGACUUAGGAGGUGAAAAGUUUGGGCGUUAACACCGUCAGGGAAAAUAAAACUGAAAGUUCACCAACCCCUGGGAUCAGUUGGGCUACAGUGUUUCUCGAAGGGGGUCUGAAAUGAAAUCCCCGAAAGACUGACCAAAAUAAUCAAGAUGUAGGUGGCUCUGGCAGGAAAUUGCUAACCAAACCGAUGCUAGAAGACCUUCGGGAGAAGAUGGGAAACCUGGGGCUUGAGGCAGGUAUUUGUUGACUUUUAGGUAUUAGAGGAGGAGCAGACUGAUUUGCUACAAAAUGGGGAAUGGAAUUAUGUUAAAGAGGAAAGACCCAGCUCCCAAAACACAAUGUUCCUGGGUGAUAGAGCAAGAAAAUUCAUUUUUGCAAAUACCCAGUAAGAAGUAGACUGGACACUACAACAUGAAAAAGAGAAAAAAGAAAAAAAUAAAUCAGUAGGAUUUAGCAAAUUGCCUCUUAGGAGUAGUAUUAGUCUAGAGUCCAGGAUGUACUGUUGUCCCACCCUUCCCUGAAAAAGCUCACCUGCACUUCAGCUGGCCCAUCAGCACCGAGGUUUCCAAAAGAAAGCAAAUUUGCCAUGUAAUAUUUAGAGAGUUUGGGGUUUCAGCAAAACUGUUUUAUAGGCUAAAGUCUCAGAAAGACUACUAAAAAUAAUGAUACCGAGAUUGACAAGGCCAACGAAUUCCCCUGCACUGGAAAAAAAUCACAACCACAUUUGCACACUAAAGAAUAAGAUGCAGGCAAAAUAAAAAUGGGUUGGGGGGGAGGCAGAGGAGAAUCACUGUAACUCCCAACUUUGAUAUUAAUCAGAAUAUCAGAAGUAGAGUGAGAAGGAGCCUGAAAAGAAGUAAAACAAAUGUGUACAUUUAAUCAGACAGGAUUGCAUAGGAUACAAAGCACAGGGCUAAUUAGUCUCAGCAGGUAGGACUAACCUUCAGACUUCAUAAAUAAAUAAGGCAGGUGCAGUGUCUAAGAGGGAGAGUGGAGACAGAAAGGGGAUUAUUUCAAGACACCAAGUGAAAACAUGAAGAAUGAAAUGCUUCACUGUUAAAUCCAUGUACAAAUGGACUUAACAGUUUCCUUUUUUAGGUCUUUUACUUGGUUGCCUUUAGAUUUACACAUUUAGCGAAAUGACCAUAGCUUUAUACACUUGCUAAUUGUCACCUGUAUACUUGAUGUGCCUAAGUCUGUCUAUAUGCAGCGUAGACUUUACUAAGGCUCAUUUUAGGGACUUAGUUACUUAAACUGGAACACAUUUAUAGGAACUCAAUUUUAUGGCAAUUUCUUUGUCCUGUGUGGUAGUUUUUUGUUUUUUAUUUUUUUAAUCAAACCCUGGUCUGAAUUAAGUUGGAUAAUGAGGUCUUCUAUGUUCUUUAUAGUACUACCUGUAUAAUAAAAUCUCAGGAAUAUACUGAAUUGAAAUUUUAAAGAAUGUACUUACUGAUUUUACUAUACUGGCCUGCAUUUUUAUCAUAUGUAAAUACUAAGGGCUUUGUUCCCAUGAUUAGUAACUUUAUCCAUUUUGGCAUAUCCUUAUUUUUCUCAUUCAAAGGGAACUCUUUUGAAUCUCUCCUUCCUUAAAUCUCUGAUUUAAUUAAGCAAUUAAAAAGUUAUUCUGUGAUAGUGCAUGUCCCACAUUUAAUUUCGUUGCCUGGUGCUGUACAAAGGCUUGAGUAGACCAGCAAGAUCUCAGAGGGGCCAGAUCCCUGAUGCUCUGCAAGUCCCUCAGGUGAUGCCUGAAUUGAGGAGCGGGGGGGAAUGGCAGAAUUGGCACUGCAGUAGCCAGGCAGCAAGGUAUUGAAAAAUACCUUGAAUAGCCGGGCGCAGUGGCUCAUGCCUGUAAUCCCAGCACUUUGGGAGGCCAAGGCGGGCGGAUCACGAGGUCAGGAGAUCGAGACCAUCCUGGCUAACACGGUGAAACACCGUCUCUACUAAAAAUACAAAAAAUUAACCAGGCGUGGUGGCGGGUGCCUGUAGUCCCAGCUACUCGGAAGGCUGAGGCAGGAGAAUGGCGUGAACCCGGGAGGCGGAGCUUGCAGUGAGCCGUGAUGGCGCCACUGCACUCCAGCCUGGCCAACAGAGCGAGACUCCGUCUCAAAAAAAAAAAAAAAAAGAAAAGAAAAAAAAAGAAAAAUACCUUGAAUACUAUUUGAAAAAAAAGGUAGGCUGGCCCACAAUGUGAAUGUGUAAUUUAUAGAUUUGGUGUGAAAUUUUAAACACAGUUGACUUGGGUCCAAGUGCUGAGGCAACUUCUCUGUGGAUACUGAUGACUCCUGGUUUAUAGGACCAAGCGUUCUGCCCAAAUGGCAGAGAUUUGAAAAACACAGGAAACCAGACCAGUUCUGACUUUAGCCUGAGCCAGGGGAUUUUGCCACCAUGGGCUCUGCAUGUUGGGAAAUGGGUGGGAGGGGGGAGAAGCUGUGCCCUCAUCCCUUGGAAUCCAGUUAGGUCUCUGCAUAUUUUGGGAGGAAGGCAGGGAGAAGCUGGGCCCUCACCCCUUGGAGUCCAUUCCUGGCGCCAGUCCAGGUCCUGAACUGUAAGUAGCUGUCCCUAGGCCUCUCUGACUUUGACCUCGCCCUCUUCAUCCACUGCCCUUCUGCUGCUUCUCUUCUGUUUUCUCCUCUCCUUCAGCCCUCCCUUGAUUAAAUCCUUCUCUUUGGAUACAUGCUGAUACCUUAAAACUUAAGUGAGUAGUGUUACCUCUUCCAGAGGUGCUUCCUUGUUUAUCCCUAUCAAUGAGCAUGAAAAGGAGGUUUCUGUUUACACAAAUCACCUUUUAAGUGUUGGUUCCCCACGUGGGAGAUAUGGUGAAGUGUUAGGUGCCCAUUGAAAUACAGGAAUGUGCCUGACAGGGGACUGCAGAAAUAGGCCUGCCACAGGCUGUGUCACCCACGGCCCCUUCGUCUUGUCUCACCUGGUGGAUGAGGUGGUUGGAAUGGGCUUUUUUAAGUUGCCUGUUAAUAUUUAAAAGUCCGUGAUUCCAUCGUUUCACCACACGCCCCAGUUAUGGCUCAGAGAUUCACGCACACCAGCAAAGAAGACAAACCAUAUUGAAAGCUUGGCUCUGGAAUUUGAGAAAAACAAGGCUAGUCUGUCAGAUUUACCCGAAGUGGGGAAUACAUGUUGACAACCAUAUUCAGCUCCCCCAGUCACUCGGCAAGAUUCUGCUAAGUUACCCUUGACAGUGAUAUGUACAUGUGUGGGUGUGUGUAUUUGUGUUCCUGUGUGAUUUUUCUUUAAAGAUCUGGGCUCCAAGAUGGAUGAUCUGUUACCCCACUGUGUUGGACUUAUCUAUGCCGGGAGUGUGCUAAAGGAAGCCAAAAAAAGACUCUGAAAACAUAAGGAAGCUAUAAAAUGGGGAAAUGUUUAGAAGCCAAAGUCCUGAUUCCGCUGUGAGAUUUUCUGUUUGCUUUUUGUUCUGCGUGGGUGAUGGUUCCUUAUUUGGACCUUGAGGAAAGCUACUCCCUUAGCCAACAUAGGAACGUUAAAAAAUUGGACACCCAAGAGUUUUCAAAUUUAGCAAGAGGAAGGGUUAGGCAAAAGCGCCCACUUCACAGGCAUCCUCUAUCCCCCCAAAGACUCUGUGAAGGGACUUGGAGAGACACAUACUCUCUCCCCUUGAAACCCUGAGGAACACUCUUCUGUUCUGACAUUUUUCUGAAGUGCCCGGCUUGAUCACCUUGCUUCAGCUAAUAACAGGUCCAGGUAAUAAAGUGACAAUAAUACCUGAUGAUCCAAGGGUUAAUGGGGAGAUGUACGCAUCUGUACAGGGUUUCAUCACCUGCCUUCAUAAGCCGAUUACCACUGCUAUAGGCAUUUGUGACAGGAACAGCUUUCUGAAAGACAUCAGUCCUCCAUAAAUAUACUUUUCUUAUUGACAAGAUGUCUUUUAACCCUAAUAGUAAUGGAAGAAGGCCAAUAAAUGAAACAUUUACUGCAUAACUUGCCUUAUUUUGGGGUGGUGUACAAUUCCUUUCUAGCUGUCUCUAGAAGAUGUUUUCAGCCUAAUUUGCUCCCUAGAAAUUUCACUCGCUACAGUUAUACGUCUAUGACGUUUUAUUGCCUGAAGCCAAGUCUGCAUAAGAACUUUCUUAAGAUAUACUUAUCCUAAUGCCAAGCUACAGUAACUGGGCUGCUUUGUGCUGAAUUAUUUGUGCUACCCUGAUAUACAGGGCAGAGACUUCCCAAUAGUCAUUGCCAUAGGGUAGGUCUAAAUGUUUCUGAGAAGGGGAAAAGAGGCAGGAAAAAGGUGAAAAAAGUUUCAUCUAGGUUGAUUUGUAGAAGUCUUUAGAAUUAAUAAUUGGAUGCGUAUUUAACAUAUUAAAAUGCCUGAGGUUUUCUUUUGUUUUCUCUUUUUAAAAUGGCUUCAAUGACCCCACCCUGUCUUACAGAGCAGCUUUGCCCACUCAAAUCCAUUGCUGUAUUCAAAAAUGUCACAGAUAGCAAAGCACCUUCCACUAAAACAUGGGCACCUUAAAAUGAGGCAGAUACUAUGUCCCCCGGUAUUGAACAGUCUCACAAGGUGGCUUACGUGCGUUCAAGCGACAGAGCAGGUGAAACUUCAGGAGAGGAUGAUGCCAUUGUUCCCCCUUGAAAUUCAUCUAGGUGUGGGCUGACACACCUGCAUCUGGCCAGAAGCAAUAUGGGAUGGGAGGAGGUAAAAUAUCCAAGGAGACUCUCAGGUCCAUAGUGUGAAGAUUUCAGGUUUGGUCCUCACUAGGAAUCCACAGCAGCAUCAGCCCCAAACUGUCUUGAGAAAAUACUAAAUCUAUGUUGACGGAAUCACUUGAGACUGGAUUAGAAUCAGCAACUCUCCUCCCUUGCAAAAUCCCAAAUGUUUCUGCAAAUUCCAAAUUAGUACGGAUGGAUUACGUUUCCUAACAAAACACUCAUUUGGAUGAGGAAAGGGAAGAAGUUUCAGUGAAUGAGUUCCAGGAUCCAGAGUGAGUUUGGGUCUCAGUAUAGACAACAAUAUGCAGCACAAGGUUUAGCAACAGUAAGAGAGUCUUCCAGUGGACUGUCAUCUUUAGCAAACACCGGUUCUGGGUAGCCUGAGGGCAUGCUGUAAAUACCUAGAGCAAGAAGGAGAGCAUUAAUCGUUAUUAAAGGUUCCAGGAUGCUGAGAGUGAGGGCUUAUAAUAACCCCCAAACUCCAUAAGAAACACGGGAGCCCCUCCCAGCACCCCCACCUAUGGAGAUGUGGUGUUUCUCUUUGCCUGUGUCCCCACACACUGAAUUUCUAAUGACUUCACACACUGUUGGAAAUCCUCCCUGUGCUUUUUAAGGGUGGCCAAGGUUCCUGAUGGUCUGUUGACAGCACAGGGAUGCAGUUUCCUUGUUCUCAUUCUGCAAAGGACUAUGCUUCUAAAGAAACCCAAGUCUUAGGCCAGGAAGAAUCUGAAGAGGCCUCCUGGGCCCCACCACUUCCCAUUCUCCUUCCAAUCAAUGUGCAUUAGGGGCUAAAGGCCAUAAGUGAUGGCAUCUAUAUGCCUGUGAGACCCUCCUGGCCCUGCCACCCACCCAAACUCUAUCUGGAAGCCAGAGAGAACAUUUCUUAGGGAAGGAUCU
This 7851-nucleotide long non-coding RNA is filed under the name Homo sapiens (human). RNAcentral's name for it is "non-protein coding lnc-ZDHHC6-4:2". Lineage: Eukaryota; Metazoa; Chordata; Mammalia; Primates; Hominidae. The record is from RNAcentral.